CAGCAGCCGCGGGAAUACGAAGGGGGCUAGCGUUGCUCGGAAUCACUGGGCGUAAAGGGUGCGUAGGCGGGUCUUUAAGUCAGGGGUGAAAUCCUGGAGCUCAACUCCAGAACUGCCUUUGAUACUGAAGAUCUUGAGUUCGGGAGAGGUGAGUGGAACUGCGAGUGCAGAGGUGAAAUUCGUGGAUAUUCGCAAGAACACCAGUGGCGAAGGCGGCUCACUAGCCCGAUACUGACGCUGAGGCACGAAAGCGUGGGGAGCAAACAGGAUUAGAGACCCCUGUAGUCCCUGUCUCUUAUAA
Molecule: ribosomal RNA, 301 nt
Filed under: uncultured bacterium
Lineage: Bacteria
Description: partial 16S ribosomal RNA
Rfam family: Bacterial small subunit ribosomal RNA
Source: RNAcentral